Molecule: ribosomal RNA, 609 nt
Filed under: Neopomacentrus metallicus (metallic demoiselle)
Lineage: Eukaryota; Metazoa; Chordata; Actinopteri; Pomacentridae
Description: partial 16S ribosomal RNA
Rfam family: Bacterial large subunit ribosomal RNA
Source: RNAcentral
UCGCCUGUUUAUCAAAAACAUCGCCUCUUGAAAACAUAACAUAAGAGGUCCUGCCUGCCCAGUGACUAAAUGUUUAACGGCCGCGGUACUCUGACCGUGCGAAGGUAGCGCAAUCACUUGUCUUUUAAAUGGAGACCUGUAUGAAUGGCACGACGAGGGCUUGACUGUCUCCUUUUUCUAGUCAAUGAAAUUGAUCUUCCCGUGCAGAAGCGGGAAUACUAUCAUAAGACGAGAAGACCCUGUGGAGCUUUAGACACUGAAUCAGCCCUUGUCCAAAACCCCUAUUAAAGGACUGAACACUAGAGUGCAACCUGAUCCAUGUCUUCGGUUGGGGCGACCUCGGGGUAUAAGCCACCCCCCGCGAGGAACGGGAAUCCCACUCCUUUAACCAAGAGCCACCACUCAAAGUACCAAUAUUUUUGACCUACUAUAUGAUCCAGCUUACGCCGAUCAACGGACCAAGUUACCCCAGGGAUAACAGCGCAAUCCUCUUUUAGAGCCCAUAUCGACAAGGGGGUUUACGACCUCGAUGUUGGAUCAGGACAUCCUAAUGGUGCAGCCGCUAUUAAGGGCUCGUUUGUUCAACGAUUAAAGUCCUACGUGAUCUGA